AGUGAACGCUGGCGGUAGGCCUAACACACGCAAGUCGAACGGCAGCACAGUAAGAGCUUGCUCUUACGGGUGGCGAGUGGCGGACGGGUGAGGAAUACAUCGGAAUCUACUUUUUCGUGGGGGAUAACGUAGGGAAACUUACGCUAAUACCGCAUACGACCUACGGGUGAAAGCAGGGGAUCUUCGGACCUUGCGCGAUUGAAUGAGCCGAUGUCGGAUUAGCUAGUUGGCGGGGUAAAGGCCCACCAAGGCGACGAUCCGUAGCUGGUCUGAGAGGAUGAUCAGCCACACUGGAACUGAGACACGGUCCAGACUCCUACGGGAGGCAGCAGUGGGGAAUAUAGGACAAUGGGCGCAAGCCUGAUCCAGCCAUACCGCGUGGGUGAAGAAGGCCUUCGGGUUGUAAAGCCCUUUUGUUGGGAAAGAAAAGCAGCAGGUUAAUACCCCGCUGUUCUGACGGUACCCAAAGAAUAAGCACCGGCUAACUUCGUG
RNAcentral lists this ribosomal RNA (492 nucleotides) under uncultured bacterium. RNAcentral's name for it is "partial 16S ribosomal RNA". It matches the Rfam family "Bacterial small subunit ribosomal RNA", at positions 29 to 507 of the family's 1533-position model. The record is from RNAcentral.